RNAcentral lists this ribosomal RNA (253 nucleotides) under uncultured bacterium. Its description in RNAcentral is "partial 16S ribosomal RNA". It matches the Rfam family "Bacterial small subunit ribosomal RNA", at positions 524 to 776 of the family's 1533-position model. The record is from RNAcentral.
UACGGAGGAUCCAAGCGUUAUCCGGAUUUAUUGGGUUUAAAGGGUGCGUAGGUGGCUUUUUAAGUCAGGGGUGAAAUACGGCAGCUCAACUGUCGCAGUGCCUUUGAUACUGAAGAGCUUGAAUAACGUUGAAGAUGGCGGAAUGAGACAAGUAGCGGUGAAAUGCAUAGAUAUGUCUCAGAACACCGAUUGCGAAGGCAGCUGUCUAAGCGUUUAUUGACACUGAUGCACGAAAGCGUGGGGAUCAAACAGG